Molecule: ribosomal RNA, 596 nt
Filed under: bacterium enrichment culture clone WG_212
Lineage: Bacteria
Description: bacterial SSU rRNA
Rfam family: Bacterial small subunit ribosomal RNA
Source: RNAcentral
AUGGAAUGAGAUUUCGGUCAAAUGAAGUUGAGGACAGUGGCGGACGGGUGAGUAACGCGUGAGGAACCUGCCUUUCAGAGGGGGACAACAGUUGGAAACGACUGCUAAUACCGCAUAACACAUUGAGGUCGUAUGGCCUUGAUGUCAAAGAUUUAUCGCUGAAAGAUGGCCUCGCGUCUGAUUAGCUAGUUGGUGAGGUAACGGCCCACCAAGGCGACGAUCAGUAGCCGGACUGAGAGGUUGAACGGCCACAUUGGGACUGAGAUACGGCCCAGACUCCUACGGGAGGCAGCAGUGGGGAAUAUUGGGCAAUGGGCGCAAGCCUGACCCAGCAACGCCGCGUGAAGGAAGAAGGCUUUCGGGUUGUAAACUACUUUUGCAAGGGAAGAGAAGAAGACGGUACCUUGUGAAUAAGCCACGGCUAACUACGUGCCAACAGCCGCGGUAAUACGUNNGUGGCAAGCGUUGUCCGGAUUUACUGGGUGUAAAGGGCGUGUANCCNGGUCGGUAANUCANAUGUGAAAUCUAUGANCUCAACUCAUAAACUGCAUUUGAAACUGCUGAUCCUUGANUAUCGGANAGGCAAUCGGAAUUCC